GGGCCUCCUUUGGGGAUGAAUUCUCUCGCCAAAAUAACUUCAACGCUCUUCUCCUUCCUUCACUCACAUGGACUUAACAUUCGGGAUAUCUACCCUUUAUGUUCUAUGGCUUCCGAUUCAUUACUACAUAUCUUUUAGGGGUUAGUGAUGGACCGAUUAAGUAAUGAAUAAAUAAAAAAUAGUGAAAGAAAUUAAAAAAUUGAAUACACAAAUUUAAUUUGAAAAAGAGGAUAAGAAAAC
RNAcentral lists this long non-coding RNA (240 nucleotides) under Gossypium barbadense (sea-island cotton). Its description in RNAcentral is "long non-coding RNA (GBAR_LNC015644)". Lineage: Eukaryota; Viridiplantae; Streptophyta; Magnoliopsida; Malvales; Malvaceae. The record is from RNAcentral.